UGGGGAAUCUUAGACAAUGGGGGAAACCCUGAUCUAGCCAUGCCGCGUGAGUGACGAAGGCCUUAGGGUCGUAAAGCUCUUUCGCCAGGGAUGAUAAUGACAGUACCUGGUAAAGAAACCCCGGCUAACUCCGUGCCAGCAGCCGCGGUAAUACGGAGGGGGUUAGCGUUGUUCGGAAUUACUGGGCGUAAAGCGCGCGUAGGCGGACUAUUAAGUCAGGGGUGAAAUCCCGGGGCUCAACCCCGGAACUGCCUUUGAUACUGGUAGUCUUGAGUUCGAGAGAGGUGAGUGGAAUUCCGAGUGUAGAGGUGAAAUUCGUAGAUAUUCGGAGGAACACCAGUGGCGAAGGCGGCUCACUGGCUCGAUACUGACGCUGAGGUGCGAAAGCGUGGGGAGCAAACA
Molecule: ribosomal RNA, 402 nt
Filed under: uncultured bacterium
Lineage: Bacteria
Description: bacterial SSU rRNA
Rfam family: Bacterial small subunit ribosomal RNA
Source: RNAcentral